This 729-nucleotide ribosomal RNA is filed under the name Salmonella enterica subsp. enterica serovar Napoli. RNAcentral's name for it is "partial 23S ribosomal RNA". It matches the Rfam family "Bacterial large subunit ribosomal RNA", at positions 680 to 1405 of the family's 2925-position model. Lineage: Bacteria; Pseudomonadati; Pseudomonadota; Gammaproteobacteria; Enterobacterales; Enterobacteriaceae. The record is from RNAcentral.
AGUCUUAACCGGGCGUUAAGUUGCAGGGUAUAGACCCGAAACCCGGUGAUCUAGCCAUGGGCAGGUUGAAGGUUGGGUAACACUAACUGGAGGACCGAACCGACUAAUGUUGAAAAAUUAGCGGAUGACCUGUGGCUGGGGGUGAAAGGCCAAUCAAACCGGGAGAUAGCUGGUUCUCCCCGAAAGCUAUUUAGGUAGCGCCUCGUGAACUCAUCUCCGGGGGUAGAGCACUGUUUCGGCUAGGGGGCCAUCCCGGCUUACCAACCCGAUGCAAACUGCGAAUACCGGAGAAUGUUAUCACGGGAGACACACGGCGGGUGCUAACGUCCGUCGUGAAGAGGGAAACAACCCAGACCGCCAGCUAAGGUCCCAAAGUCAUGGUUAAGUGGGAAACGAUGUGGGAAGGCCCAGACAGCCAGGAUGUUGGCUUAGAAGCAGCCAUCAUUUAAAGAAAGCGUAAUAGCUCACUGGUCGAGUCGGCCUGCGCGGAAGAUGUAACGGGGCUAAACCAUGCACCGAAGCUGCGGCAGCGACAUUUAGGUGUUGUUGGGUAGGGGAGCGUUCUGUAAGCCUGUGAAGGUGGCCUGUGAGGGUUGCUGGAGGUAUCAGAAGUGCGAAUGCUGACAUAAGUAACGAUAAAGCGGGUGAAAAGCCCGCUCGCCGGAAGACCAAGGGUUCCUGUCCAACGUUAAUCGGGGCAGGGUGAGUCGACCCCUAAGGCGAGGCCGA